GAUGAAGAACGUAGCGAAAUGCGAUAAGUAGUGUGAAUUGCAGAAUUCAGUGAAUCAUCGAAUCUUUGAACGCACAUUGCGCCCCUUGGUAUCCCGAGGGGCAUGCCUGUUCGGGCGUCAUUUCACCACUCAAGCCUGGCUUGGUGUUGGGCGACGUCCCCUUUAGGGACGCGCCUCGAAACGCUCGGCGGCGUGGCACCGGCUUUAAGCGUAGCAGAAUCUUUCGCUUUGGAAGUCGGGGCCCCGCCUGCCGGAAUACCUACUCGUAAGGUUGACCUCGGAUCAGGCAGGGAUACCCGCUGAACUUAAGCAUAUCAAUAAGCGGAGGA
This 329-nucleotide unclassified non-coding RNA is filed under the name soil metagenome. RNAcentral's name for it is "partial contains 5.8S ribosomal RNA, internal transcribed spacer 2, and large subunit ribosomal RNA". The stretch from base 1 to 120 matches the Rfam family "5.8S ribosomal RNA", at positions 35 to 154 of the family's 154-position model. The record is from RNAcentral.